GAUGAAGAACGUAGCGAAAUGCGAUAAGUAAUGUGAAUUGCAGAAUUCAGUGAAUCAUCGAAUCUUUGAACGCACCUUGCGCCCUUUGGCUAUUCCAAAGGGCAUGCCUGUUUGAGUAUCAUGAACACCUCAACUCUCAUGGUCUGCCAUGAUGAGCUUGGACUUUGGAGGUCUGCUGGCCUGUGGUCAGCUCCUCUCAAAUGAAUCAGCUUUCCGGUGUUUGGUGGCAUCAUGGGUGUGAUAAAUAUCUACGCUUGUGGUUUUCCACCAGGCAACCUUCAGUGAUGGGGGUUCGCUGGGGCUCAUAAAUGUCUCUCCUCAGCGAAGACAGCUUUGUGAAUGUUUGAUCUCAAAUCAGGUAGGACUACCCGCUGAACUUAAGCAUAUCAAUAAGCGGAGGA
Molecule: unclassified non-coding RNA, 401 nt
Filed under: soil metagenome
Description: partial contains 5.8S ribosomal RNA, internal transcribed spacer 2, and large subunit ribosomal RNA
Rfam family: 5.8S ribosomal RNA (bases 1-121)
Source: RNAcentral